UUGAACGCUGGCGGCAGGCCUAACACAUGCAAGUCGAACGGUAACAGGAAGAAGCUUGCUUCUUUGCUGGCGAGUGGCGGACGGGUGAGUAAUGUCUGGGAAACUGCCUGAUGGAGGGGGAUAACUACUGGAAACGGUAGCUAAUACCGCAUAACGUCGCAGGACCAAAGAGGGGGACCUUCGGGCCUCUUGCCAUCGGAUGUGCCCAGAUGGGAUUAGCUAGUAGGUGGGGUAACGGCUCACCUAGGCGACGAUCCCUAGCUGGUCUGAGAGGAUGACCAGCCACACUGGAACUGAGACACGGUCCAGACUCCUACGGGAGGCAGCAGUGGGGAAUAUUGCACAAUGGGCGCAAGCCUGAUGCAGCCAUGCCGCGUGUAUGAAGAAGGCCUUCGGGUUGUAAAGUACUUUCAGCGGGGAGGAAGGGAGUAAAGUUAAUACCUUUACUCAUUGACGUUACCCGCAGAAGAAGCACCGGCUAACUCCGUG
RNAcentral lists this ribosomal RNA (489 nucleotides) under uncultured bacterium. RNAcentral describes it as "partial 16S ribosomal RNA". It matches the Rfam family "Bacterial small subunit ribosomal RNA", at positions 30 to 507 of the family's 1533-position model. The record is from RNAcentral.